UACGUAUGGUGCAAGCGUUAUCCGGAUUUACUGGGCGUAAAGGGAGCGCAGGCGGCGCGCCAAGUCUGAUGUGAAACCCCGGGGCUCAACCCCGGGCAUGCAUUGGAAACUGGCGGGCUGGAGUGCCGGAGAGGUAAGCGGAAUUCCUAGUGUAGCGGUGAAAUGCGUAGAUAUUAGGAGGAACACCAGCGGCGAAGGCGGCUUACUGGACGGCAACUGACGCUGAGGCUCGAAAGCGUGGGGAGCAAACAGG
This 253-nucleotide ribosomal RNA is filed under the name uncultured bacterium. RNAcentral describes it as "partial 16S ribosomal RNA". It matches the Rfam family "Bacterial small subunit ribosomal RNA", at positions 524 to 776 of the family's 1533-position model. The record is from RNAcentral.